CCCACUCUCCAACCCUUUGUGUACCUACCUCUGUUGCUUUGGCGGGCCGCGGUUCUCCGCGGCCGGCCCCCUGAUCGGGGCUGGCCCGCGCCCGCCAGAGGACCACAAAACUCCAGUCAGUGAACUUUGCUGUCUGAUAUAAAUUCAAUAAACUAAAACUUUCAACAACGGAUCUCUUGGUUCUGGCAUCGAUGAAGAACGCAGCGAAAUGCGAUAAGUAAUGUGAAUUGCAGAAUUCAGUGAAUCAUCGAAUCUUUGAACGCACAUUGCGCCCUUUGGUAUUCCGAAGGGCAUGCCUGUUCGAGCGUCAUUACACCCCUCAAGCUCUGCUUGGUGUUGGGCAGCGUCCUCUCGGACGCGCCUCAAAGACCUCGGCGGUGGCGUCUUGCCUCAAGCGUAGUAGAAAACACCUCGCUUUGGAGGACGGGACGACCGCUCGCCGGACGAACCUUUGAAUUCAUUUUCCUAGGUUGACCUCGGAUCAGGUAGGGAUACCCGCUGAACUUAAGCAUAUCAAUAAGCGGAAGA
RNAcentral lists this ribosomal RNA (528 nucleotides) under fungal sp. TCPR 116. RNAcentral's name for it is "eukaryotic LSU rRNA". The stretch from base 157 to 310 matches the Rfam family "5.8S ribosomal RNA". The record is from RNAcentral. Lineage: Eukaryota; Fungi.